RNAcentral lists this ribosomal RNA (263 nucleotides) under uncultured bacterium. RNAcentral describes it as "partial 16S ribosomal RNA". It matches the Rfam family "Bacterial small subunit ribosomal RNA", at positions 524 to 786 of the family's 1533-position model. The record is from RNAcentral.
UACGUAGGUGGCGAGCGUUAUCCGGAUUUACUGGGUGUAAAGGGCGCGCAGGCGGCCCUGGAAGUCAGAUGUGAAAGAUCAAGGCUUAACUUUGACAGGUCAUCUGAAACUUUGGGGCUUGAGUAUCAGAGGGGAAAGUGGAAUUCCUAGUGGAGCGGUAAAAUGCACAGAGAUUAGGAGGAACACCGGUGGCGAAGGCGACUUUCUGGCUGACAACUGACGCUGAGGCGCGAAAGCGUGGGGAGCAAACAGGAUUAGAUACC